RNAcentral lists this ribosomal RNA (253 nucleotides) under uncultured bacterium. Its description in RNAcentral is "partial 16S ribosomal RNA". It matches the Rfam family "Bacterial small subunit ribosomal RNA", at positions 524 to 776 of the family's 1533-position model. The record is from RNAcentral.
UACGAGGGGUGCAAGCGUUGUUCGGAAUCACUGGGCGUAAAGGGAGCGUAGGCGGAACUCCAAGUCGAUCGUACAAUGCCAGGGCCCAACCCUGGACCUGCGGUCGAGACUGGUUUUCUUGAGUUAUUUAGAGGCAAGCGGAAUUCCAGGUGUAGCGGUGGAAUGCGUAGAGAUCUGGAAGAACACCAAUGGCGAAGGCAGCUUGCUGGGAAUUAACUGACGCUGAGGCUCGAAAGCGCGGGUAGCAAACAGG